AAUCCGUGAUGUGGGCAGCAUCUCUCUUAAACCUCUCAUAUACAUCGUACAUGCUUUCAUCAUCAAACUGCAUAAAAGAAGAUAUGUCAUUUCUAAGUUU
This 100-nucleotide small nucleolar RNA is filed under the name Ricinus communis (castor bean). RNAcentral's name for it is "Plant small nucleolar RNA R71". It matches the Rfam family "Plant small nucleolar RNA R71". From Rfam's summary of the family: R71 is a member of the C/D box family of snoRNAs containing the C (UGAUGA) and D (CUGA) box motifs. Multiple nearly identical copies of this snoRNA have been identified in Arabidopsis, and it is thought to function as a 2'-O-ribose methylation guide for 18S ribosomal RNA. Lineage: Eukaryota; Viridiplantae; Streptophyta; Magnoliopsida; Malpighiales; Euphorbiaceae. The record is from Rfam by way of RNAcentral.